UGGCUCAGUGGUAGAGUGUUUGCCUUGCAUGCAUGAGGCCCUGGGUUCGAUUUCUCAG
This 58-nucleotide transfer RNA is filed under the name Dipodomys ordii (Ord's kangaroo rat). It matches the Rfam family "tRNA", at positions 8 to 63 of the family's 71-position model. From Rfam's summary of the family: Transfer RNA (tRNA) molecules are approximately 80 nucleotides in length. Their secondary structure includes four short double-helical elements and three loops (D, anti-codon, and T loops). Further hydrogen bonds mediate the characteristic L-shaped molecular structure. tRNAs have two regions of fundamental functional importance: the anti-codon, which is responsible for specific mRNA codon recognition, and the 3' end, to which the tRNAs corresponding amino acid is attached (by aminoacyl-tRNA synthetases). tRNAs cope with the degeneracy of the genetic code in two manners: having more than one tRNA (with a specific anti-codon) for a particular amino acid; and 'wobble' base-pairing, i.e. permitting non-standard base-pairing at the 3rd anti-codon position. Lineage: Eukaryota; Metazoa; Chordata; Mammalia; Rodentia; Heteromyidae. The record is from Rfam by way of RNAcentral.